RNAcentral lists this ribosomal RNA (433 nucleotides) under uncultured bacterium. RNAcentral's name for it is "partial 16S ribosomal RNA". It matches the Rfam family "Bacterial small subunit ribosomal RNA", at positions 29 to 507 of the family's 1533-position model. The record is from RNAcentral.
AACGAACGCUGGCGGCAUGCCUAACACAUGCAAGUCGAACGAGACCUUCGGGUCUAGUGGCGCACGGGUGCGUAACGCGUGGGAACCUGCCCUUAGGUUCGGAAUAACUCCCCGAAAGGGGUGCUAAUACCGGAUAAUGUCUUCGGACCAAAGAUUUAUCGCCUUUGGAUGGGCCCGCGUUGGAUUAGCUAGUUGGUAGGGUAAAAGCCUACCAAGGCGACGAUCCAUAGCUGGUCUGAGAGGAUGAUCAGCCACACUGGGACUGAGACGCGGCCCAGACUCCUACGGGAGGCAGCAGUGGGGAAUAUUGGACAAUGGGCGAAAGCCUGAUCCAGCACUGCCGCGUGAGUGAUGAAGGCCUUAGGGUUGUAAAGCUCUUUUACCCGGGAUGAUAAUGACAGUACCGGGAGAAUAAGCUCCGGCUAACUCCGUG